AUACGUAGGGUGCGAGCGUUGUCCGGAAUUACUGGGCGUAAAGAGCUCGUAGGUGGUUUGUCGCGUCGUCUGUGAAAUUCCGGGGCUUAACUCCGGGCGUGCAGGCGAUACGGGCAUAACUUGAGUACUGUAGGGGAGACUGGAAUUCCUGGUGUAGCGGUGAAAUGCGCAGAUAUCAGGCGGAACACCGGUGGCGAAGGCGGGUCUCUGGGCAGUAACUGACGCUGAGGAGCGAAAGCAUGGGUAGCGAACAGGAUUAGAUACCCUGGUAGUCCAUGCCGUAAACGGUGGGCGCUAGGUGUAGGGGUCUUCCACGACUUCUGUGCCGUAGCUAACGCAUUAAGCGCCCCGCCUGGGGAGUACGGCCGCAAGGCUAAAACUCAAAUGAAUUGACGGGG
This 398-nucleotide ribosomal RNA is filed under the name uncultured bacterium. RNAcentral describes it as "partial 16S ribosomal RNA". It matches the Rfam family "Bacterial small subunit ribosomal RNA", at positions 523 to 918 of the family's 1533-position model. The record is from RNAcentral.